AACGAACGCUGGCGGCAGGCCUAACACAUGCAAGUCGAACGCCGUAGCAAUACGGAGUGGCAGACGGGUGAGUAACGCGUGGGAACAUGCCCUUUGGUUCGGAAUAACUCAGGGAAACUUGAGCUAAUACCGGAUAAGCCCGAGAGGGGAAAGAUUUAUCGCCGAAGGAUUGGCCCGCGUCCGAUAGCUAGUUGGUGGGGUAAUGGCCCACCAAGGCGACGAUCGGUAGCUGGUCUGAGAGGAUGAUCAGCUACACUGGGACUGAGACACGGCCCAGACUCCUACGGGAGGCAGCAGUGGGGAAUAUUGGACAAUGGGCGCAAGCCUGAUCCAGCCAUGCCGCGUGAGUGAUGAAGGCCCUAGGGUUGUAAAGCUCUUUCGCCAGGGACGAUAAUGACGGUACCUGGAUAAGAAGCCCCGGCUAACUUCGUGCCAGCCGCCGCUGUAA
This 448-nucleotide ribosomal RNA is filed under the name uncultured bacterium. Its description in RNAcentral is "partial 16S ribosomal RNA". It matches the Rfam family "Bacterial small subunit ribosomal RNA", at positions 29 to 523 of the family's 1533-position model. The record is from RNAcentral.